UCCCUGGUAGCUCAGAGGUUAAAAGCGUCUGCCUCCAAUGCAGGAUACCUGGUUAGAUCCCUGGUCGGGAAG
Molecule: transfer RNA, 72 nt
Filed under: Ovis aries (sheep)
Lineage: Eukaryota; Metazoa; Chordata; Mammalia; Artiodactyla; Bovidae
Rfam family: tRNA
About the family: Transfer RNA (tRNA) molecules are approximately 80 nucleotides in length. Their secondary structure includes four short double-helical elements and three loops (D, anti-codon, and T loops). Further hydrogen bonds mediate the characteristic L-shaped molecular structure. tRNAs have two regions of fundamental functional importance: the anti-codon, which is responsible for specific mRNA codon recognition, and the 3' end, to which the tRNAs corresponding amino acid is attached (by aminoacyl-tRNA synthetases). tRNAs cope with the degeneracy of the genetic code in two manners: having more than one tRNA (with a specific anti-codon) for a particular amino acid; and 'wobble' base-pairing, i.e. permitting non-standard base-pairing at the 3rd anti-codon position.
Source: Rfam by way of RNAcentral